AACGAACGUUAGCGGCGCGCCUAAUACAUGCAAGUCGAGCGAGAAAGGGAUUCGUCCCCAGUAAAGCGGCGCACGGGUGAGUAACACGUAGGUCAUCUACCCUCGGGUGGUGGAUAACAUUCCGAAAGGAGUGCUAAUACAGCAUCACACCGCAAGGUCAAAGCGGGCCUCUCUAAAGAAGCUCGCGCCUGAGGAUGAGCCUGCGGCCCAUCAGCUAGUUGGUAGUGUAACGGACUACCAAGGCUAAGACGGGUAGCUGGUCUGAGAGGAUGAACAGCCACACUGGAACUGAGACACGGUCCAGACUCCUACGGGAGGCAGCAGUAGGGAAUCUUGCGCAAUGGGCGAAAGCCUGGCGCAGCGACGCCGCGUGAGUGAUGAAGGCCUUCGGGUUGUAAAGCUCUGUGGGGAGAGAAGAAUAAGUGCAGGCUAACACUCUGCGCGAUGACGGUAUCUCCUUAGCAAGCACCGGCUAACUCUGUGCCAGCCGCCGCCGUAA
Molecule: ribosomal RNA, 499 nt
Filed under: uncultured bacterium
Lineage: Bacteria
Description: partial 16S ribosomal RNA
Rfam family: Bacterial small subunit ribosomal RNA
Source: RNAcentral